Unclassified non-coding RNA from Macaca mulatta (Rhesus monkey), 146 nucleotides. It matches the Rfam family "Metazoan signal recognition particle RNA". Rfam says of the family: The signal recognition particle (SRP) is a universally conserved ribonucleoprotein. It is involved in the co-translational targeting of proteins to membranes. The record is from Ensembl. NCBI's taxonomy places the organism in Eukaryota, Metazoa, Chordata, Mammalia, Primates, Cercopithecidae.
GCCAGGUGUGGUGGCUCAUGCCUGCAAUUCCAGCUUUGGAAGGCUGAGGCAGGAGGAUUACUUGAGCCUAGGAAUUCAAGGCUGCAGUGAGCUGUGAUUGUGCCACUGCACUCCAGCCCAGGCAAUAAAGUGAGACCCUGUCUCAA